UGAUGGAUAUUCCGGGAUGCA
RNAcentral lists this non-coding RNA (21 nucleotides) under Arabidopsis thaliana (thale cress). The record is from RNAcentral. Lineage: Eukaryota; Viridiplantae; Streptophyta; Magnoliopsida; Brassicales; Brassicaceae.